UGACCCUACGGCGCUAGCAGUCCUCGUGGCCUUCCAGGCCUAGCCGCCAUAUACCCGCCCACCAACCGCUUUCAACCACCUCAUCAGCACAACCUCUUUGGGCGUUCCAACGCGGCGCCCCCUA
Unclassified non-coding RNA from Aotus nancymaae (Ma's night monkey), 124 nucleotides. NCBI's taxonomy places the organism in Eukaryota, Metazoa, Chordata, Mammalia, Primates, Aotidae. The record is from Ensembl.